RNAcentral lists this ribosomal RNA (402 nucleotides) under Schizophyllum sp. BAB-3926. RNAcentral's name for it is "eukaryotic LSU rRNA". The stretch from base 1 to 100 matches the Rfam family "5.8S ribosomal RNA", at positions 55 to 154 of the family's 154-position model. The record is from RNAcentral. Lineage: Eukaryota; Fungi; Basidiomycota; Agaricomycetes; Agaricales; Schizophyllaceae.
GCGAUACUUGGUGUGAAUUGCAGAAUUCAGUGAAUCAUCGAAUCUUUGAACGCACCUUGCGCCCUUUGGUAUUCCGAGGGGCAUGCCUGUUUGAGUGUCAUUAAAUACCAUCAACCCUCUUUUGACUUCGGUCUCGAGAGUGGCUUGGAAGUGGAGGUCUGCUGGAGCCUAACGGAGCCAGCUCCUCUUAAAUGUAUUAGCGGAUUUCCCUUGCGGGAUCGCGUCUCCGAUGUGAUAAUUUCUACGUCGUUGACCAUCUCGGGGCUGACCUAGUCAGUUUCAAUAGGAGUCUGCUUCUAACCGUCUCUUGACUGAGACUAGCGACUUGUGCGCUAACUUUUGACUUGACCUCAAAUCAGGUAGGACUACCCGCUGAACUUAAGCAUAUCAAUAAGCGGAGGA